UUCUUCCGUUUGUUUUCUCAGUUUGAAAUUAGGGAAGGGAUUCAUGCAUCUAGUGCAUUGUCAGCUGUCUGAAUCAGAUAACCUUAGGGGAUGAAUUCAAAGGUCAAAGUAAAUGUUGGUCAUCCCCGCGUAAAAAUCCCUUGUGAAUAAGAGGUCUCCUGAAUGUUCUCUCUCUGGAAUGACGAGCUCCUCUCUACCAUCUGGGUAGGUCUUCCAUCUUCAAGGUAAGAUUUGCUUCCUCCCAUUGUCGAAUGAUGAUUACCCCUCUACCGACUGAGUAGCUUUCCCCCAUUUACACGACUGAGAAAUGAAAAACCUAAAAAACCCAAUCGAAACCCAGAUGGCUCAUUCCAAAAAACCCCGUUAAUCCCACCCACGACAAAACCCUAAUGCCCAUCCAUUUCUGAUCGGUUGUGCUUGUUCAUCGCAAUCCACCAGAUUAAUGUUCCAUUUCACCUGACAUACACGAAACCCUUAGUGAGCUCCCUUCAAUCGGUCUAUUCUAAUGAUGACCCUCCUGCUGGUUCCAAAGUGUAAACGCCAGCUAUUGCGACAAACCUGAGAUUCUCAUUCUGGUAAAAAAGAAAUGGCAAGUCAGCUUGAG
This 604-nucleotide long non-coding RNA is filed under the name Eucalyptus grandis. RNAcentral describes it as "long non-coding RNA (EGRA_LNC001709)". Lineage: Eukaryota; Viridiplantae; Streptophyta; Magnoliopsida; Myrtales; Myrtaceae. The record is from RNAcentral.